This 667-nucleotide ribosomal RNA is filed under the name uncultured bacterium. RNAcentral describes it as "bacterial SSU rRNA". It matches the Rfam family "Bacterial small subunit ribosomal RNA", at positions 73 to 719 of the family's 1533-position model. The record is from RNAcentral.
CCGGAGCUUGCUCCACCGAAAGAAAAGGAGUGGCGAACGGGUGAGUAACACGUGGGUAACCUGCCCAUCAGAAGGGGAUAACACUUGGAAACAGGUGCUAAUACCGUAUAACAAUCGAAACCGCAUGGUUUUGAUUUGAAAGGCGCUUUCGGGUGUCGCUGAUGGAUGGACCCGCGGUGCAUUAGCUAGUUGGUGAGGUAACGGCUCACCAAGGCCACGAUGCAUAGCCGACCUGAGAGGGUGAUCGGCCACAUUGGGACUGAGACACGGCCCAAACUCCUACGGGAGGCAGCAGUAGGGAAUCUUCGGCAAUGGACGAAAGUCUGACCGAGCAACGCCGCGUGAGUGAAGAAGGUUUUCGGAUCGUAAAACUCUGUUGUUAGAGAAGAACAAGGAUGAGAGUAACUGUUCAUCCCUUGACGGUAUCUAACCAGAAAGCCACGGCUAACUACGUGCCAGCAGCCGCGGUAAUACGUAGGUGGCAAGCGUUGUCCGGAUUUAUUGGGCGUAAAGCGAGCGCAGGCGGUUUCUUAAGUCUGAUGUGAAAGCCCCCGGCUCAACCGGGGAGGGUCAUUGGAAACUGGGAGACUUGAGUGCAGAAGAGGAGAGUGGAAUUCCAUGUGUAGCGGUGAAAUGCGUAGAUAUAUGGAGGAACACCAGUGGCGAA